This 22-nucleotide unclassified non-coding RNA is filed under the name Mus musculus (house mouse). RNAcentral describes it as "oocyte_clustered_small_RNA11900". Lineage: Eukaryota; Metazoa; Chordata; Mammalia; Rodentia; Muridae. The record is from RNAcentral.
UACGACUCGAUGCUCGCCCUGC